UUGUAAUCCGAAAAGUGCUCCUAGCUACUCCCUAUAUUUAUUAUAUAAACACUUUUCCAAUAUUCAUUGUCUCACCCUCAGCUCUCUGGUAACAAUUUCCUUUGGUGUUUUUUUUUGUUCCCUCACCACACUACCUCUCUUUCCCUUUUUUUUACAAAUCAACAUUCAAAAAUGGGAGGUUGUGUGAGCAGUCCUAAGGAUCUUAAGAACGAAGGGGAAGCCCCAGUUGAGGCUCCCAUCACACCAAAGAAUGCUGAGGGAGAGACUGUUGCUCAGGUUCUUUCAAUUCUCUUUUCUCUCAUUUUUCAUUUCACCACACAAAUGGGUUUAGAAUAUAACAUGACAUUCAUUACACACCUUGAAAUCAUCCUAUUUGCUUUUGUUUGGUGUACUUCACUACAGUUAUGAUAAAAAUAACUCAUACAUAUAUAUAUAUAUAUAUAUAUAUAUAUAUGGAAAAACAAUUCUUACAUUCGAAUAUCAACUCUUGCGAAAAGAAAAAACACUUUGGCCAGCCCCUACCGCUUAAUGCGCUGACCGUGGGGUGAGGGAUUAGUUUCACGGCUGUCGGCCGUAGGAAUACCUUGGUCAAGACAAAAAAAAAAAACUAUCUUUUGAAAUAAAGUUAAUCUUAACUUCAAAUCUACGACUUUCAUAUUUUAAAACAAAGGAAUGGACCCACAAAAAGUGUUUGGAUCCUCUACUGCCCCCUCACACCUCUGGAGCACCCGUUAUAUAUUUAAAUUGAUUCAUGAUUGAAUCAAUUAUGCAAUCACUUUUUCAUUAGUGAUCCUAGGACGUGUUUGGAAAACUGUUAGGUUUGAUGUAAAAGUGUGAAAAAUCACUUCAAUUUCAAUCCAACCAAUUUUUCCUUUAGUUUUUCACGCUUUGAUAUUAGUGAAAUAGGUGAAAAGCACUUUGACACCUCUAAGAAACACUUAGAGUAUGUUUAUAUUAAAAUCCAACUACAUUCAACUUCAACCCUUCAAAAAAUUGGUUUUCGCCUUUUGUGCUUGCGAGUUGCGAAAAUAGAAUCUCACUUUUGAACACAAAAUGAAUGUGCUUUCAAUCUAAACAAAACAUGUUCUUAAUUAGUCAUAGUCAUUGGGUACAAAAGUUAAUGAAUUAGAUUGUUGGAGAUUAAACAGUAGACAAAACGGUAUGAAAGAAUCCAAAUCGGAGUAAAGAGUCAAAAUCAUUAAGAAAAUGAUAUUCAAAUCCUUAUCAUUUUCUUCUGGUUCAAUCACUGCCCCAAUAGUAAUAACAAUUCACGUAUAAUUAAUUUUUCUUUGCUAACUCUCUUUUUCUAUCAUAUCACAUCAUAUAAUUUAGGUGUAAACAUUUCAAUUAGGUGUCUAUAAAAUAUUUUCCUUCCAUUUUUAUAAUGAUAAUUAGUUGGUUGGUUUAUUAUAUGCAGGAGAACACCCAAGAAGGAGGUGAGAAGAAGGAGGAGCCUUUGGUAGACAUCACUGAGCCUAAAGAGGAGAAUGUGGAAGACAAGCCACAAGAGGCUGAGGUUGCUACUGAGGCCCAAGAGGUGGAAGCCCAGGCUGAGCAACCAAAAGCAGAGGAGAACAAUGAUGCACCUCUUGUAGCUCUGUGAAUGUGAUCACAUAUUAAUUCAGUGUCCAUCCUAAUAAACCUGAGGCAAAUUGAAUUCAUAUGAUGUGUGCUACGGAGCUGUAACAUAUGGCCGAUUUUAUUGUCUAAAUCACAUCAUAAUUUUUAAUUCUUUCCCUUCUUGGAGCUUCAUUUGAGAAAUAGAAUCAUAUUUUAAUAUUUUAUUAUAUCUUACCAAUUAGCAAAUAUAUAUGUGAGCUUUUAUUGUGAUUGUUUGAUUCUUUGCUUAAUUGCUUUUUACGUUUUAGAGUUGGGUGAAUGUAAAAAACUAAAAACACC
RNAcentral lists this long non-coding RNA (1899 nucleotides) under Lotus japonicus. RNAcentral describes it as "long non-coding RNA (LJAP_LNC000874)". The record is from RNAcentral. Lineage: Eukaryota; Viridiplantae; Streptophyta; Magnoliopsida; Fabales; Fabaceae.